CCUACGGGAGGCUGCAGUGGGGAAUAUUGCACAAUGGGGGAAACCCUGAUGCAGCGACGCCGCGUGAGUGAAGAAGUAUUUCGGUAUGUAAAGCUCUAUCAGCAGGGAAGAAAAUGACGGUACCUGAUUAAGAAGCUCCGGCUAACUACGUGCCAGCAGCCGUGGGAAUACGUAGGCGGCCAGCGUUAUCCGGAUUUACUGGGUGUAAAGGGAGCGUAGACGGCAGCACAAGUCAGGAGUGAAAUGCUGGGGCUUAACCGCGGAACUGCAAUGGAAACUGUGAAGCUAGAGUACAGGUGAGGUAAGUGGAAUUCCUGGUGUAGCGGUGAAAUGCGUAGAUAUUAGGAAGAACACCAGUUGCGAAGGCAGCUUACUAGACUGUAACUGACAUUGAGGCUCGAAAGCGUGGGGAGCAAACAGGAUUAGAUACCCGAGUAGUC
This 440-nucleotide ribosomal RNA is filed under the name uncultured bacterium. RNAcentral's name for it is "partial 16S ribosomal RNA". It matches the Rfam family "Bacterial small subunit ribosomal RNA", at positions 338 to 795 of the family's 1533-position model. The record is from RNAcentral.